Molecule: ribosomal RNA, 89 nt
Filed under: Bacillus amyloliquefaciens
Lineage: Bacteria; Bacillati; Bacillota; Bacilli; Caryophanales; Bacillaceae
Also listed under: 7 other names
Description: partial 16S ribosomal RNA
Rfam family: Bacterial small subunit ribosomal RNA
Source: RNAcentral
UUAUCGGAGAGUUUGAUCCUGGCUCAGGACGAACGCUGGCGGCGUGCCUAAUACAUGCAAGUCGAGCGGACAGAUGGGAGCUUGCUCCC